GCCGGAGUAGCUCAGCUGGUAGAGCAACGCAUUUGUAAUGCGUGGGCCGUGGGUUCGAGUCCCACCUCCGGCU
RNAcentral lists this transfer RNA (73 nucleotides) under Actinomycetes bacterium. RNAcentral's name for it is "Actinobacteria bacterium tRNA-Thr". It matches the Rfam family "tRNA". From Rfam's summary of the family: Transfer RNA (tRNA) molecules are approximately 80 nucleotides in length. Their secondary structure includes four short double-helical elements and three loops (D, anti-codon, and T loops). Further hydrogen bonds mediate the characteristic L-shaped molecular structure. tRNAs have two regions of fundamental functional importance: the anti-codon, which is responsible for specific mRNA codon recognition, and the 3' end, to which the tRNAs corresponding amino acid is attached (by aminoacyl-tRNA synthetases). tRNAs cope with the degeneracy of the genetic code in two manners: having more than one tRNA (with a specific anti-codon) for a particular amino acid; and 'wobble' base-pairing, i.e. permitting non-standard base-pairing at the 3rd anti-codon position. RNAcentral also lists the same sequence under 2 other names. The record is from RNAcentral. Lineage: Bacteria; Bacillati; Actinomycetota; Actinomycetes.